RNAcentral lists this transfer RNA (73 nucleotides) under Loxodonta africana (African savanna elephant). It matches the Rfam family "tRNA". Rfam says of the family: Transfer RNA (tRNA) molecules are approximately 80 nucleotides in length. Their secondary structure includes four short double-helical elements and three loops (D, anti-codon, and T loops). The record is from Rfam by way of RNAcentral. Lineage: Eukaryota; Metazoa; Chordata; Mammalia; Proboscidea; Elephantidae.
CCCUGGGUAGUUGAAACAGUUAAGCACUUGGCUGCUAACCAAAAGGUUGGAGGUUAGAUUCCACCCAGAUGGG